Molecule: long non-coding RNA, 5163 nt
Organism: Eriocheir sinensis (Chinese mitten crab)
Lineage: Eukaryota; Metazoa; Arthropoda; Malacostraca; Decapoda; Varunidae
Exons: 3
Source: RefSeq, a predicted model, not a curated record
UUGGGAGGGCCUGUCUGGGUGGUGGUGGUGGUAACAGUAGUAGUAGUAGUAGUGGUGGUACAGAUGACUCUUGAUUUUGUGGAUUAUUCAAACCUGAGAAUCAUGGUAAAGACCUUGAAAAUAUUGGCAUAGUAGAGACUCAUUAUCCUUCAUUUUACCCUCUAAAUCAAGGGUCAGAGUACGUAUGGAUUGACAGAUUGACUUCGGAUAAACUUAGAAUGAUGAAAUGAUAUGAGGGUGAUGGUAAUACUGCUUAGGACAUGAACAGCUGCGGAUGAAGUGGAUGAACUGACAGUGUGAAUAUGUAACUCCCUUCCGCAAUCCAUUUUUUCAUCCCUCGCCGUCCAUUUAGACUUGAGAAUGAGCCUUGGGAAAAGAGGUUCUGAUGUUAAGCUUUGCCAUAUUCUCGUUCUCCCCCAUGGCUCCUUGCUGGGUCCUGGAGUGAUAGAUAAGUGUGUGUGGUAUUAUGGCUGGAUUAGGGACUUCUUGCACCAUGUGGCUUUGGUUGAGAGAUAAGAUUGUGAGGUUAUGGCUACGGUAACUUGCUCCCUUUCCUGGUAUGUCAGUUGUGUGAUAGGUCAAAGGCUAUGAAGCACAGUUUAGUAUGGGAUAGGUAUAGUAACUUGGUCCUUCUGACAGUGUUUGGGUCUUACAGUUGAAGGUUUAUUGGUUAGGAAAGAGUUUAGGAUUGGCGUAGCAACUUGCUCCCUUUCCUGGUAUGUUAGUCUUGUGAUAGGUCAAAGGCUAUGAAGCACAGUUUAGUAUAGGAUAGGUACAGUAACGUGGCCCUUCUGAGUGUUCUUGGGUCUUACAGUUGAAGGUUUAAAGGUUAGGAAAGAGUUUAGGAUUGGUGUAGCAACUUGCCCCCUUUGCUUUGUGAAAGGUCAAAGGCUAUGAAGCACAGUUUAGUAUAGGAUAGGUAUAGUAACUUGGUCCUUCUGACAGUGUUUGGGUCUUACAGUUGAAGGUUUAAAGGUUAGGAAAGAGUUUAGGAUUGGUGUAGCAACUUGCCCCCUUUGGUAUGUGAAAGGUCAAAGGCUAUGAAGCACAGUUUAGUAUAGGACAGGUAUAGUAACUUGGUCCUUCUGAGUGUUCUUGGGUCUUACAGUAGAAGGUUUAAAGGUUAGGAAAGAGUUUAGGAUUGGUGUAGCAACUUGCCUCCUUUGCUUUGUGAAAGGUCAAAGGUUAUGAAGCACAGUUUAGUAUAGGAUAGGUAUAGUAACUUGGCCCUUCCUGCAGUGUUUUUGGGUCUUACAAUAGAAGGUUUAAAGGUUAGGAAAGAGUUUAGGAUUGGUGUAGUAACUUGCCCCAUUUCCUGCCGUGGGUACAUGUAUUGUAUGGUAAGGUUGGAACAUUAGGUGUGGAUUUAGUAGUAGUUAAUCCCUUCCUCGUCAAUUUCUGGAUUCCGUGAUAGAUUAGAUUAGGUUAUAACACAUCCCAGGGGUUAGUUUUACAAGGGGAUGGCGUGGGUACAGGUAUUGUAUGGUAAGGUUGGAACAUAAAGUGAUUUAGUGACAGCUUCUUCCUUUCUGGUCACUUGCUGGGUUCUGUGAUAGAUUGGAUUAGGUUAUAACACAUCCCAGGGGUUAGUUUUACAAGGGGACAGUGUAGGUACAUUUGUGGUUAAACUCUUUGAUGGAUAAGGUUGAUUUUAGUUCCUUGUUCCUCCUUCCUUCCCAGCUGUUUCUUGGGAGGCAGUGUCAUAAAGUAUAUUGUGAUCAGUGUAUUUUUUUGCUGUGUGGAUUCUGUGAAAAGAUUUGUGUGUGUGUGUGUGUGUGUUUGUGUGUGUGUAUUCAUAAUGCUGUGUGCUGCAUACAUACAUAACAAUAUUUCAUACUUUUAAGAUAACAGUUAUGAUAAUAUAUGACAUCCCACACUCCCUUGUCACUAAUAAUAAGAUUGGUAAUAAUAAUGUCAGGAGAAUAAUAUAAUAUCUACGUCUAGUGAAGUUGUGGAGGAGCGUCACUUAGGUCUUCCCUUCCAUUUCUCCCCAAUGCCUUUCCCACUUGAGGCAGGGUGGCACAAAGUAAGGAGCGGAAUACUGUCAAAACUCUCUGCUGUUACAUCUCUGGUGUUUACUGUGACUCACCACAGCUGCCUCUCAUACUAUGACACUUGUAAUAUGCUGCACGCUGUUUGCUGGAGCGCAUUGCUUAAGAUCAAAUCAGUCAGUCUCUGUAAUUCCCUUACAUUAAUGCAAACAAGCUGGAAAACAAAACUUGCCCACCUGGAGGCCAUGAUAAAAGUGGGGUGUUAGAUGCAGUGGUGCACUGCUGCUGCCCACCAAGCACUUCCCUCCUCUGCCUGUGGCUCAGCUGGGCUGUUAUCAAAUUGUCACUGCCAGUGGGUGCCCCUUGUGCCUGCCUCAUAGUGCUGGCCAUGGCUGGAGGACUGGCAGCUGACCCUCUGUGGCAGUCAUGAUGCAGGAAAGGGUGUGUUGAGGUGACCUGAGCACACUGAAAUACUCUGGGUGUCUGCUCCACCAUGGCUGCCCCUUGUUUACAAAACCCAUGAGUGCAGUGUGUUCCACCUCUGGGAGCAGUGACAUGGGGCAGUGGAGGGCUGUGUUGCUGCCUGCUCCACAGCCUCCACACCAUGAAGUGUGAUGCCCAGCACUGUCAGGGGCACUGAACACCCCUCAGGAUGAACCUCCCUCUGGAUAUUCCAGUGUAAACAGGUGUUGUUGUGUUCCUGGAGGUCAGCCCUUGCCUGGGUUCAUCACACACUGACGGCUUGCUAAAUUUGUCCUGCAAGGAAGCAGCUCCUGCGUAGAAUGAGAGGCGGCUGUCCCGCUACAACUGUUACUACUUAGCACUGUUGCAAGGAGUCAGCCUUGACUACUAUUCCCCCUCACUGUUCCCCCCUACCCCAAGGUACCAGAACCCCCCCCCUCCCCCAGACUGCUGAUGUUGACCCCACCUCCGUGUUACCAACACUUUGCUCCCUCUUGUUGCAUCAGUCAUACAGCAAAUAAUAAUUAAAAAGAUGAAUAAAAUGAUAUAAUAAAUUUAUUAAAGCAGAACAAGUUGAUUAUUGACAGCAGUAAGAUGAGUUCACCAUCUUUAUCCCUUACAACAACACCUGACAGUCUUGGCAGUGGUGAUACAACACACACAGAGCUGAGCGCCUCAUGUAGCAGCUUGCCGGGCUGCCAGCAGCGUGGGCAGGCUGUUACAUCACACACAGACAGACAUCAUGUAGCAGCUUGCCCAACACCAGUGGCUCUAGGCAGGCUGUUACAUUGGGCUUGGGCUGGCUGUGUUCCGCCGUGCACAGACUGUCUGUGCAGCCGCUCUGGUUGUCUGCCAUAUCCAUCCCUUCAGACCCAUCACUGUGCUAGACUUACUCUCCUAGAAUGGAAUAGCCCAUCAAUGUAAACCUUGAAUUUGACCUCCUCCUCCUCCUCCUCCAUCUGUUCCACUCCCUCCUUUGGCGAUGUUUUAUUUCAAUGUUAAAUUGAAUAUUAUUAGUCUGGGAAGUGAUCUGUAAUAUGAUACUGUAGAGCUGACUAAGACUGGGAAUAUGAAGUCUACCUGUUUAACUUAGCUGUCCCCAAAUUACUCUUAAAGAGCAUGGUUGCAUGGUUGGCAGCAAGACCCAUGUGAUUAUUAUUAUUAUUAUUACCAUUAUUAUUACUGUUAUGGUGCUGGCCAGGCCCCCACACACACAGGACAGAUUGUGGCUCACUGCUUGUUGGCGGCAGACUCAUCACUCACUCACUCACUCACCUCACAUCUUGCUCUCACUAUUAAUCUCUAUAUGAUCAAUACUUGUACACACACACACACACACACACACACACAGCCUGUUGUUUGUUUUGUUGCCCCACUCACUCUUUGGGUUGAGUCUUGAGUGUGGCUGUAGACAGUACUCAUGAACCAAAGAGAUUCCUCACCUUAACAUCAUUUGGCUGCCCCCAUGAGCUCCCUUGGCCGCUGCAGGGAGUCCACAGCUUCACUCUCCCUUCUUCUUAAGCCACAGUCCUUCAACUCCCUCUCUCCUCUCUUUCCCUUUUCAACUCCCUUUCCUUCCAGUCACUUCAUCACCCUCCCUACCUUCCUCCCUUGACAGUUCAUCUCCCUGUUCUCCCUUCCUUCAUAUCCCUCCAUUUUUCUUCCUCUCCCUUCUCAACUUUUAACCUCUCUACCUUCCUCCCUUGCCAGGUCCUCUCCCUUUCUCCCUUCCUUCAUAUCCCUGUUUUUCUCCCUCUCCCUCUCUUUAUUCCUUGCCAGUUCAUCAUCCUCUGCCCCCUCUCUCUACCUUUCCUCUCAUUCCUCUCUCUCCUCCUCCUCCUCCUCCUUCUCCUAAUGCCUAAGUGUUGAGUUGUGUCUGCCAUAUGUUGUUCUGUCCCAUUAUCUCUUAGCCAAUAUUAUAACCAGUAGCGUCCAGAUCAGUGUGCUAGUGUUAACAUCUGUAUACUGUAGAUACCCUCCCAUUGAUAACAUGCAUACAGACACGCGUUAUGACCCAUGUAUUAUGCUCAUGUACAGGGUUGUUGAUAAAGGCCUUGGGGUAUUGCAGGCUUUAUUUAUGGUUUAGUUUGUAUUAUGUAACUACACUUGACAUGAUUUCUGGUUAAGUUUAUACGUAAGUGCAUUUGAGACAUGUGGUUAGGUCUGGUUUGAUUUAUAUAGGAAACUACAAACACAUGAUUUCUUUUUUUUCUUUGUUUCUUUCUCUUUCCUAAUUUUCUUUCUUUUUCUUUCUUCUUUGUAUAUAUAGUCAGUCUUUCUUCUUCCUCUUCUUCUUCUUUUUCUUAGAUUUCCAGAUAAGUUUGUCCUAUGAAAUUAAACCAACAUCAUUUCUUAUUCAAUUCACACACACACACACACACACACACACACACACACACACACACACACACACACGUAACUUCACAAACGCACAGUAAAAGGUGUUAAUUCAGAGGCUGGUCACUCUCUACCAAGCCUCCACACUGCACCAAUAUCACAAUUCCUUCCUCAGCUUUUAUACGUAACUACACCAACAUCAUUUCUUAUUCAAUUCACACACACACACAACUACACACACACUUGUAAAAAAGGUGUUAUUCAGAGGCUGGUCACUCUCUACCAAGCCUCCACACUGCACCAAUAUCACAAUUCAUUCCUCAGUUUUUAUACGUAACUACACCAACAUCAUUUCUUAUUCAAUUCACACACA